This 699-nucleotide ribosomal RNA is filed under the name Bacillus velezensis. Its description in RNAcentral is "bacterial SSU rRNA". It matches the Rfam family "Bacterial small subunit ribosomal RNA", at positions 41 to 504 of the family's 1533-position model. Lineage: Bacteria; Bacillati; Bacillota; Bacilli; Caryophanales; Bacillaceae. The record is from RNAcentral.
GGCGUGCCUAAUACAUGCAAGUCGAACGAACUUCCGUUAAUUGAUUAUGAGGUGCUUGCACUGAAUGAGAUUUUAACACGAAGUGAGUGGCGGACGGGUGAGUAACACGUGGGUAACCUGCCCAGAAGCAGGGGAUAACACCUGGAAACAGAUGCUAAUACCGUAUAACAGAGAAAACCGCCUGGUUUUCUUUUAAAAGAUGGCUCUGCUAUCACUUCUGGAUGGACCCGCGGCGCAUUAGCUAGUUGGUGAGGUAACGGCUCACCAAGGCGAUGAUGCGUAGCCGACCUGAGAGGGUAAUCGGCCACANGCCCAGAAGCAGGGGAUAACACCUGGAAACAGAUGCUAAUACCGUAUAACAGAGAAAACCGCCUGGUUUUCUUUUAAAAGAUGGCUCUGCUAUCACUUCUGGAUGGACCCGCGGCGCAUUAGCUAGUUGGUGAGGUAACGGCUCACCAAGGCGAUGAUGCGUAGCCGACCUGAGAGGGUAAUCGGCCACAUUGGGACUGAGACACGGCCCAGACUCCUACGGGAGGCAGCAGUAGGGAAUCUUCCACAAUGGACGCAAGUCUGAUGGAGCAACGCCGCGUGAGUGAAGAAGGGUUUCGGCUCGUAAAGCUCUGUUGUUAAAGAAGAACGUGGGUGAGAGUAACUGUUCACCCAGUGACGGUAUUUAACCAGAAAGCCACGGCUAACUAC